RNAcentral lists this long non-coding RNA (1929 nucleotides) under Salmo salar (Atlantic salmon). Its description in RNAcentral is "lncRNA (ENSSSAG00000087480.1)". The record is from RNAcentral. Lineage: Eukaryota; Metazoa; Chordata; Actinopteri; Salmoniformes; Salmonidae.
UUUUUUUUUUACUAAAAGAAUAAAUUUUAUUUCAGCACUGUAAGUCGUUUCUCAACCGUACAAACACGACCACCAUCUUUACAUCAUCAAGCCUCUCCUCCUGUUCCAGUCUUCCUUUGUGAAAUCACUUCCUCCACAGCCAGACGAAUAUAAAAGGGCUCUCUCCACAACAUUCUGGUGCUUCCAUUUUAGCUAACGAUGACAAAUUAUACCGAUCAUAAUUAUAACAGCAAUAAUAGUAGUGAUGAAGAUGAACCUUUUACUGCACUGUUGUUUUGAGGGGGAGGGGCUUACAGUACAUGAUACAGUACACAUUACUGCUGGUUUACAGUUGAUGUAUUACAUGUGUUACAGUUGCUUCAGAAGGCGUUGGUACAGAUACUCACAGACUCGACACCUGUAUGAUGUUAUAUCAUCAUCAUGUGACCUGAACUGACCGCUCACUCCAUAUCCUCCCUAGCUGCAUCCCAAAUAGCAUCCUAUUCCCUUUCUAGUACACUACUCAUGACCAGGACCCUGCACCACAAGGUCAAAAGUAGUGCACUAUUAUAAGGAAUGGAGUGAAAUUUGGAAUGUAAUCAACUGUCUUUAUUACCUGUAAGCCUAUCUAGUCUGGACCACCAGGCAGUGUAGCCAUACAUGUACUGAAACCUUAUAACACAGUCCUACAGUAACCAAUACAGCUCUGUUCUACUCAUCACAAAACUCCACUCUAUAAGGGGUAAACCAAUCACACGUGCUGUGAUGUCAUCAUAGAAUCGCUCUCAUGAUAGGCCAUUGUAUUUUUCUGGGGACUUCCAACUCUGUGCAAAGUACAGCUUCACUUGAGUCGACCAUGAAAUCUUUAUAAAGGGACGUUAAUAAUACGAGAAUAUACGAACGUAGUGCAGAAACGAUUAUCAUUUAAAAAGCUUUUGACGGGCGAUAUUUAACUGACAUAGUAACAACGACAAGGUGAUCUUUAAAAUGAUUUAUGGCAUAUAAAUCUCUAUGUUUGGCUAAAGCCUCUUAGAACUAACGGUUGCUUUGAUAGAUAGAAGGGGUUAGAAGACAUUAAAAAGAGUAAGAAAAAAAAAAGUGAAGCACAAUUGAAUAAAACAGAUUUUUUUUUGUUGCAGACUCUGGCUAGUUUACAAAGAGAAACUGAUCAUCAAUAAUAACAUCGUUCACAAAGAGAAACCGAUCAUCAAUAAUAACAUAGCCUCUACUGUUAGUGUGGGUGGUUAGGGGCGGGGUCAGAAAACAGCCAAUAGAAAUGGUCCUAGAGGAAACAGAUAAGGGCUGAUACAGUGAUCCAUCCAUCGGACAGACUGCCUGUGUCGGACAGACUGCCUGUGGUGUAAAGACUGUUGGUGAAAGGGUGUAAAGACUGUUGGUGAAAGGGUGUAAAGACUGUUGGUGAAAGGGUGUUGGUGAAAGGGUGUUGGUGAAAGGGUGUUGGUGAAAGGGUGUAAAGACUGUACUCUAUGGGCUGCUUUAAGCGGAACGACCUAAUGAGGGGGACAGAGGGAGGAAGAGAGCGAGAACGGUGAAGACGGGGGUGAAGAGAGAGGUGGGGUUGAAGGGCGAGGGGGGUGAAGAGAGAGGUGGGGUUGAAGGGCGAGGGAGGGGGUGAAGAGAGAGGUGGGGUUGAAGGGCGAGGAAGGGGGUGAAGAGAGAGGUGGGGUUGAAGGGCGAGGGGGUGAAGAGAGGAGGAGGGGUUGAAGGGCGAGGGUGAAGAGAGAAGGGAUGUUGGUAUAUAGAGGAAUAUUAAAAUAAGCAAUAAAAUCACUGAUCAAUAAAAUCUAAUACAACUAAAUCAGACACGGAUAACAAUGGGAGAGUAAUUAUGUUGUUGUUGACUUUAUCCAUACUAGCUAGUGUCUAACUCAGGGUGUGACAUCAAUGUGUGUGUGGAUGUGUGUGUGUCAGACUGCAGCUCGGUACAAC